This 468-nucleotide ribosomal RNA is filed under the name uncultured bacterium. RNAcentral's name for it is "partial 16S ribosomal RNA". It matches the Rfam family "Bacterial small subunit ribosomal RNA", at positions 28 to 507 of the family's 1533-position model. The record is from RNAcentral.
GACGAACGCUGGCGGCGUGCUUAACACAUGCAAGUCGAACGGAAAGGCCCUGCUUUUGUGGGGUGCUCGAGUGGCGAACGGGUGAGUAACACGUGAGUAACCUGCCCUUGUCUUUGGGAUAACUUCAGGAAACAGGGGCUCAUACCGGAUAGGAGCUCCUGCUGCAUGGUGGGGGUUGGAAAGUUUCGGUGGUUCGGGAUGGACUGGCUGGUUAUCCGCUUGUUGGUGUAGUUGUGGCUUACCAAGGCUUUGACGGGUAGCCGGCCUGAGAGGGUGACCGGCCACAUUGGGACUGAGAGACGGCCCAGACUCCUACGGGAGGCAGCAGUGGGGAAUAUUGCACAAUGGGCGGAAGCCUGAUGCAGCAACGCCGCGUGCGGGAUGACGGCCUUCGGGUUGUAAACCGCUUUCGCCUGUGACGAAGCGUGAGUGACGGUAAUGGGUAAAGAAGCACCGGCUAACUACGUG